RNAcentral lists this ribosomal RNA (1337 nucleotides) under metagenome. Its description in RNAcentral is "bacterial SSU rRNA". It matches the Rfam family "Archaeal small subunit ribosomal RNA". The record is from RNAcentral.
GAUAAUUUGCCCUAAGGUCAGGGAUAGCGUUGGGAAACUGACGGUAAAACCUGAUAGAAGAUUGAUACUGGAACGUUCUUUCUUUUAAAAGCAAUGCCUUAGGAUAAGUCGGCGGCUGAUUAGGUAGUUGGUGAGGUAAUGGCUCACCAAGCCUUGGAUCAGUAGGGGGGAUGAGAGUCCUUGCCCCGAGAAGGGCACUGAGAUACUGGCCCUAGCCCUAAGGGGUGCAGCAGGCGCGAAAACUUUACAAUGCGCGAAAGCGUGAUAAGGGAAUUCCAAGUGCUUGGCCUUUGAGUCAAGCUUUUGCCGAGUGUAAAAAUCUCGGAGAAUAAGUGGCGGGUAAGACGGGUGCCAGCCGCCGCGGUAACACCUGCGCCACGAGUGGGAGCCACUUUUAUUGGGUCUAAAGCGUUCGUAGCUGGAGUAUUAACUCCCUUGUGAAAUUGUUGUGCUUAACAUAACAUCGUGCAAGGGAAACUGGUACUCUAGAGACUGGGAAGAGGUAGGAGUAUGCCAGGGGGAGCGGUAAAAUGUUAUAAUCCUUGGUAGACUACCUGUGGCGAAGGCGCCUACCUAGAACAGGUCUGACAGUGAGGGACGAAGGCUAGGGGAGCAAAACGGAUUAGAUACCCGAGUAGUCCUAGCAGUAAACUCUGUGAACUAUGUGUUGCAUAAUCUUAGUGAUUGUGCAGUGCCUAAGCGAAGGCGUUAAGUUCACCACCUGGGAAGUACGGCCGCAAGACUGAAACUUAAAGGAAUUGGCGGGGGCUCACACAAGGAGUGAAGAGUGCGGUUCAAUUGGAGUCAACGCCGGAAAUCUCACCAGGAGCGACGGCAGGAUGAAGGUCAGAUUAAAGGUUUUACCUGACAAGCCGAGAGGUGGUGCAUGGCCGACGCCAGCUCGUGCCGUGAGGUGUCUAGUUAAGUCUAGCAACGAGCAAGACCCACAUCUAUUUUUGCCAACGGGCUCUACGGAGCGACCGGGGACAAUAUAGAGACCGCUGUCGUAAGACAGAGGAAGGCGUGGGCAACGUCAGGUCCGUAUGCCCCGAAUCUCCUGGGCUACACGCGCUCUGCAAUGGUAAGGACAAUGGGAUGCAACUCCGAGAGGAGAAGCAAAUCCUCUAAACCUUAUCUCAGUUUGAAUUGAGGGCUGAAACUCGCCCUCAUGAAUCUGGAAUUCCUAGUAAUCGGGUCUCAUUACAGCCCGGUGAAUAAUGUCCCUGAGCCUUGCACACACUGCCCGUCAAACCAACCGAGCGGGGCUUAGAUGAGGGUUACUUUUUUGAAUAAAACGAAUCUAAGUUCAGUAAGGUGGGUUAAGUCGUCACAAGGUA